This 783-nucleotide long non-coding RNA is filed under the name Rattus norvegicus (Norway rat). RNAcentral's name for it is "long non-coding RNA NONRATT003707". The record is from RNAcentral. Lineage: Eukaryota; Metazoa; Chordata; Mammalia; Rodentia; Muridae.
GAUGUGGCCUUGUGCUUAGAGCCAUCAGCAUUUAGAGAAUGAUGCUUGGUGACUCUGACAUGUAGGAAGUUGACUGGGCCACAUCCAUGUCAAAGCAAAGACUCAGGACGUGAGAUCCUAAUCCCCGGUGCUAUGAUGACUCCCAGAUGACAGUCACGUGCCUUUCCCACUGUAAGCUGUUGUCAGUCCACUCACUUGGCACUUCCCCCUCCCCCUCUACAGACCCAACCUCCCCUCAUUUGCUCGAUUUCAAGGUUAUGGUAAAGUUUAGCUUUGACUUCCGGAAGGCUACUCUGACCCACACCCACGCCCACACCCCCACCCCCACUCCUGCCACAUUGUUCUCUUUUCACUUUGAACUUUGUACCAGUGUUUUAUUCAGUGCUGUACUUGGACGUUCCCUCAGCCAUGAACAUUGGUGUAAUCUUGAUUUUUAAACCCUUCGCUCAUCCUGUCGUUUACCCCGUACGAUGGCAAGGACUCACCACCAGAGUAAGAAAAGAUUGAAGCUGGCAGUUGGUACACAUGGACACGAAUACAGAAAGACAAACUACACAAAAUUAAUCUCAUGGACUUUGGCCAAGCUCUCAUCAGACUCUAAAUUCUCGUUACAUGUCAGAUUCACAGUCAGUGAAAAAACAAACCUUCCGGCAUUUCUAAGAACAGUUCUCAUUUCUCACUGGAGAGCAGAAGGGGGCAGUCAACUGUGCCCUGCUUCAGGCUUCGCUGCUAUGAUCCCCCAUCACCACCAAAAAGAAAAUCAAGAAAAUUAGCGAUUAAAGG